This 253-nucleotide ribosomal RNA is filed under the name uncultured bacterium. RNAcentral describes it as "partial 16S ribosomal RNA". It matches the Rfam family "Bacterial small subunit ribosomal RNA", at positions 524 to 776 of the family's 1533-position model. The record is from RNAcentral.
UACGUAGGUGGCAAGCGUUGUCCGGAUUUACUGGGCGCAAAGCGUGCGCAGGCGGAUCAUUAAGUAGGAAGUGAAAGGGUGAAGCUCAACUUCGCCACGGCUCCCUAUACUGGUGGUCUUGAAGCUCGGAGAGGAUAAGGGAACGACACGUGUAGCGGUGAAAUGCGUUGAGAUGUGUCGGAACACCGAUGGCGAAAGCACUUAUCUGGACGAGACUUGACGCUCAGGCACGAAAGCUAAGGUAGCAAACAGG